UCCCUGGUGGCUCAAAUGGUAAAGCGUCUGCUUAAAAUGCGGGAGACCCACGUUCAAUCCCUGGCUCGGGAA
RNAcentral lists this transfer RNA (72 nucleotides) under Ovis aries (sheep). It matches the Rfam family "tRNA". Rfam says of the family: Transfer RNA (tRNA) molecules are approximately 80 nucleotides in length. Their secondary structure includes four short double-helical elements and three loops (D, anti-codon, and T loops). Further hydrogen bonds mediate the characteristic L-shaped molecular structure. tRNAs have two regions of fundamental functional importance: the anti-codon, which is responsible for specific mRNA codon recognition, and the 3' end, to which the tRNAs corresponding amino acid is attached (by aminoacyl-tRNA synthetases). tRNAs cope with the degeneracy of the genetic code in two manners: having more than one tRNA (with a specific anti-codon) for a particular amino acid; and 'wobble' base-pairing, i.e. permitting non-standard base-pairing at the 3rd anti-codon position. The record is from Rfam by way of RNAcentral. Lineage: Eukaryota; Metazoa; Chordata; Mammalia; Artiodactyla; Bovidae.